CCACCAGGGCGGGGCGGAGGGUGGUAUGUUCUGGGCGCGCCGACACAGGAUCCAUCUGAGGUCCCGGCUGCCUGGAGCCAAGAAAGCCUGCAGUGCAGACUGCAUGCUUGCCUCUCCCCACUUGGGGCAGGACUCUUCUCAGAGCAUCUGGGAGGAAAUGCCUCUGACCGGCCUCGGGAUGGGCAGCAGUGCAAGGAGGACGAUUCAGGCUCUGUGUUUCCUGCUGCUGCUCCUUGGAGCCGGCUCUGCCAAGAAUCUCUGGAAGCGGGCGCUGCAGGCGAGGCUGCCAGAGAAGUCCCGAGCCGAGGAGCUGAGCGCGCUGGGGCCCGGCCCCCGGCAGCCCCGCGCCGACCGCUGCCCGCCGCCCCCACGCCUGCUGCCCCCCGGCGCCUGCCAGGCCGUGCGCUGCCAGGCCGACGCCGACUGCCCGCGCCACAAGCGCUGCUGCUACAACGGCUGCGUCUACGCCUGCCUGGAGGCAGUGCCACCCCCUCCGGUCUUAGACUGGCUGGUGCAGCCGAAACCUCGAUGGCUUGGUGGCAACGGCUGGCUCCUUGAUGGUCCCGAGGAGAUCUUGCAAGCAGAGGCAUGCAGCACCACCGAGGAUGGAGCUGAGCCACUGCUGUGUCCCACGGGCUACGAGUGCCACAUCUUGAGCCCAGGUGACAUGGCCGAGGGCAUCCCCAACCGCGGGCAGUGUGUCAAGCAGCGUCGGCAGACAGAUGGAAGAUUCCUACGACAUAAAUUUCACAGAGAAUAUCCAGAUGGUGACUCCAAGAAUGUGGCCGAGCAUGGUCGGGGCCAGCAGAGGCACGUUCAGGGAGGCAGCGGCAUGCAGGUGCCGUCUAGUCGGUUCAGACUCAUACUGACCUCAUGUAACAGAAUAGAACUACCCCACAGGGUUUCCUAGACCGUAACCUUUAUGGAAGCAGAUUGCCAAGUCUUUCUCCCAUGAAGCCGCCGGCCAAUUUGCAAGAACAUUUUUCCAACUUUCUGCUAAGCCGCAGAAACAGUUGGGUGGGAACAGUUUGACCCCCGGAGAUCGCACCUUGCUCAGCAGAGCAUGAUUCCUGAGAACCAUAGAUUCUGGACUCCUGGCCCUCCAUCCCCGCUGGGCCUCUACCUGACUGGGUCCCUGCUUUACCAGCCUGGAAGUGAGACACCCUUAGAAGCCCACCUGACCCUGCAGUCCACCAGCUCUUACCCCAGGAAGGAGACUCCUCCUCUGUGAGCAUCAAGGAAGUCCCUUCUGAGACAGAGGUCAAUGUCUUGGCCACUUACAGAUUUCUUCCAGACAUGACACUGGGAGGCAUGCACCCAUUCCAAAUGCCCUCUAAAUAAAUUUGCUUAUCAUAAUA
Loxodonta africana (African savanna elephant) is the source of this 1358-nucleotide RNA transcript. It is a transcript of the gene named WAP four-disulfide core domain 1, with no coding region annotated. The record is from RefSeq and is a predicted model, not a curated record. Lineage: Eukaryota; Metazoa; Chordata; Mammalia; Proboscidea; Elephantidae. The transcript has 8 exons.